This 305-nucleotide ribosomal RNA is filed under the name uncultured bacterium. RNAcentral's name for it is "bacterial SSU rRNA". It matches the Rfam family "Bacterial small subunit ribosomal RNA", at positions 335 to 657 of the family's 1533-position model. The record is from RNAcentral.
UGCCUACGGGGGGCAGCAGUGGGGGAUAUUGCACAAUGGGGGAAACCCUGAUGCAGCGACGCCGCGUGUGGGAAGACGGUCUUCUGGAUUGUAAACCACUGUCCCCAGGGACGAAAAUGACGGUACCUGGGGAGGAAGCUCCGGCUAACUACGUGCCAGCAGCCGCGGUAAUACGUAGGGGGCAAGCGUUAUCCGGAUUUACUGGGUGUAAAGGGGGCGCAGACGGCGAUGCAAGCCAGGAGUGAAAGCCCGGGGCCCAACCCCGGGACUGCUCUUGGAACUGCGUGGCUGGAGUGCAGGAGGGG